This 406-nucleotide ribosomal RNA is filed under the name uncultured bacterium. Its description in RNAcentral is "partial 16S ribosomal RNA". It matches the Rfam family "Bacterial small subunit ribosomal RNA", at positions 29 to 526 of the family's 1533-position model. The record is from RNAcentral.
AUUGAACGCUGGCGGCAGGCCUAACACAUGCAAGUCGAACGAGUGGCGGACGGGUGAGUAAUGUCUGGGAAACUGCCUGAUGGAGGGGGAUAACUACUGGGAACGGUAGCUAAUACCGCAUACCAUCGGAUGUGCCCAGAUGGGAGUAGCGAGGAGGUGGGGUAAAGGAUCACCUAGGCGACGAUCCCUAGCUGGUCUGAGAGGAUGACCAGCCACCAUGUAACUGAGACACGGUCCAGACUCCUACGGGAGGCAGCAGUGGGGAAUAUUGCACAAGGGGCGCAAGCCUGAUGCAGCCAUGCCGCGUGUAUGAAGAAGGCCUUCGGGUUGUAAAGUACUUGCAGCGGGGAGGCGUUACCCGCAGAAGAAGCACCGGCUAACUACGUGCCAGCCGCCGCGGUAAUAC